Molecule: ribosomal RNA, 562 nt
Filed under: Ixodiphagus hookeri
Lineage: Eukaryota; Metazoa; Arthropoda; Insecta; Hymenoptera; Encyrtidae
Description: partial large subunit ribosomal RNA
Source: RNAcentral
GUUGAAAAGAACUUUGAAGAGAGAGUUCAAGAGUACGUGAAACCGUUCAGGGGUAAACCUGAGAAACCCAAAAGAUCGAAUGGGGAGAUUCAGCGUUCAACGGCCCGUCUGGCUUGCGUGCGACGUCACGAUGUCGCGGUGUUAUGCGCCCUCGCCGGUGUGCAUAUACCGUGACACGUCGUCGCUGCGUCAUGACCGGCGCCGUCGGCGUGUACUUCUCCCCUAGUAGAACGUCGCGACCCGUUGUGCGUCGGCCAAAGGCUCGAAGGGUAGACUAUCGCGCUCUCUCCCCGGAGGGCGCGGCAGACCCUCGAAAGCCCGGCCCGACUGCUCGACGGUAUUCGAAUAUCACAAGGUGUGUAAUCGAGAGCCGCAUUUGAAUGCGUUCGGCGCGUCGGUCGGCUUCGGCUCGCUCGGUUAUUUUACGGACCUGGAUGCCGUUACUGGGCGCUUGCCGAGGCUUUUUGUACCGACGACGAUCUCGAACCGGCUCUGCGCGCGCGAAAGCGUUCGCGCUCUCGCGCGCUCACCUGUCGGCGACGCUUUUGCUUUGGGUACUUUC